RNAcentral lists this ribosomal RNA (256 nucleotides) under uncultured bacterium. RNAcentral's name for it is "partial 16S ribosomal RNA". It matches the Rfam family "Bacterial small subunit ribosomal RNA", at positions 101 to 353 of the family's 1533-position model. The record is from RNAcentral.
AACGGGUGAGUAACGCGUGAGGAACCUGCCUCAAAGAGGGGGACAACAGUUGGAAACGACUGCUAAUACCGCAUAAGCCCACAGCUCGGCAUCGAGCAGAGGGAAAAGGAGCAAUCCGCUUUGAGAUGGCCUCGCGUCCGAUUAGCUAGUUGGUGAGGUAAUGGCCCACCAAGGCGACGAUCGGUAGCCGGACUGAGAGGUUGAACGGCCACAUUGGGACUGAGACACGGCCCAGACUCCUACGGGAGGCAGCAUG